GCAACCGCUGGUUUUUAACUAGAGGAAAGUCCAUGCUCGCACUAUCUGUGAUGGUAGUAGUGAUUGUGCUAAGAGAAAAAAUAAUCUUAGGUACUUGGGAGCAAGUAACGGCCUAAUCAAUUUCUGUCAAAUGAAAAAGAUUGUUAAAGUGCCACAGAGACGAGCGUCUUACGAAAGUAGACGAUGAAACGCGGUAAACCCCACAAGCGAGAAACUCAAAUUUUGGUAGAGGAAGUUAAUAAGAGAAACGAAUCUGAUUUAACAAGUUUAACUUAGAUAAAUGGUUGCAUAAAACAGAACAUGGCUUAUG
RNAcentral lists this RNase P RNA (310 nucleotides) under pig gut metagenome. RNAcentral's name for it is "Bacterial RNase P class B". It matches the Rfam family "Bacterial RNase P class B". Rfam says of the family: Ribonuclease P (RNase P) is a ubiquitous endoribonuclease, found in archaea, bacteria and eukarya as well as chloroplasts and mitochondria. Its best characterised activity is the generation of mature 5'-ends of tRNAs by cleaving the 5'-leader elements of precursor-tRNAs. Cellular RNase Ps are ribonucleoproteins. The record is from RNAcentral.